UACGUAGGGUGCGAGCGUUAAUCGGAAUUACUGGGCGUAAAGCGUGCGCAGGCGGCAGAGCAAGUCGAGUGUGAAAGCCCCGGGCUCAACUUGGGAAUUGCGCUCGAAACUACUUUGCUGGAGUGUGGCAGAGGAAGGUGGAAUUCCACGUGUAGCGGUGAAAUGCGUAGAGAUGUGGAGGAACACCAAUGGCGAAGGCAGCCUUCUGGGCCAACACUGACGCUCAUGCACGAAAGCGUGGGGAGCGAACAGG
This 253-nucleotide ribosomal RNA is filed under the name uncultured bacterium. Its description in RNAcentral is "partial 16S ribosomal RNA". It matches the Rfam family "Bacterial small subunit ribosomal RNA", at positions 524 to 776 of the family's 1533-position model. The record is from RNAcentral.